Zingiber officinale is the source of this 166-nucleotide long non-coding RNA. RefSeq lists it as uncharacterized. The transcript has 3 exons. The record is from RefSeq and is a predicted model, not a curated record. Lineage: Eukaryota; Viridiplantae; Streptophyta; Magnoliopsida; Zingiberales; Zingiberaceae.
UAAUGGCUCUACAACUGGCUACUAAAAUGUGGAUCUCCUUGAAAAGGAGACCAGUGCAGGGAUGCAUAUUUCAAGGGAAAGAGCUGCUACAAUUCAUCGCACUUUUCCAUCCCAUGGUUGUUUUGAAGGGUGGAGUCGGUUCUGGGUACAAAAGCUUAAUUUCAGA